This 1334-nucleotide small RNA is filed under the name Rattus norvegicus (Norway rat). RNAcentral's name for it is "uncharacterized LOC102556190". The record is from RNAcentral. Lineage: Eukaryota; Metazoa; Chordata; Mammalia; Rodentia; Muridae.
GCUGCAGUGUACUUAUAUAUAAUAAAUGAAUAAAUCUUUAAAAAAAAAAAAAGAACAGAGGUUCUGACACCCGCCUGCCACCUCUUGCUUGGGAGGCCCCUGAGGUUGGCUCUGUCACAGUCUCGGUGCAUUCUAGACAGCCUGUGCUCUGCCCAAGUCCCCAUCAGGAUGCCUAGCCCAGGAAGACUAAAGUCAGCUCGGCCCCUCCACCAUGCAGGGCAAAGUCGACAGAGGCGUGCCUUCUACUAGAGAACUUUGGCCACAGCUAGUAGACAGCUCAGACAUGACUACGACCAGGGACAGUGAGCAGGUAAGGGAACACUCCUGGCUUGGGGGAGGGGGGUUUUGGGGGGGAAGACCUAAUGAGAGUUAGAAAAGAAUAGGUCAUUUUUAUCCCAGAAUUCAGCAGCCCAGACCUCAGACCUCCUCCCCCAGACCCCAGUUCCUUUACCUCCUCCCUCGAACCCGGGGAAUCCAGUUCCUUGACCUCCUCCCUCAGACCCUGGAAACCCAGUCCCUUGACCUCCUCCCUCAGACCCAGGAACCUGGUUCCUUGACCUCCUCCCUCAGACCCAGGAGUAAUGGCCCAUGUAUUUCUCUAUCAAACCAGAGCUCCAGAUUCCAGCCCUCCUCCUUCCUACCCAGUGAUCCUCCUUAACCUUCCUCCCUUAAACCCACAACUACAAGACUCCAACCCUCUUCCCUCAGACAGAGGAGUCCUAAUGCUUACUCUUUAGGAAUACCAGUUAGCUGGCUGUCCCUGCUACAGCCACCCCAGCCACACAGCUGGAAUACUUUCACACUCGGGAGUUUUCACUGUCAGCGGCUGAAGGACAGCCACGUGCUAGCUCACUGCACAUACUGUACACAUCCGUGCUGACCUUCCCCGGGGUUAGCAUGGAAUUCAGGACUGGUUGUGUACAGGAUGGUGGCCCCUUCCUGAUAUUUGGGCAUCAUGCUUUUCUCUGCAGACCAAGGAGAGGCAGGCAGCUGAGUCCCAAGUUUGAGGAAGACAGGAUAACAGUAUUUUCCUGCUGGGAGAGCUGAAAAGUGGCCAGUGAGGGGAGAGUCUUGCAGAAGUCAUUGAUCAAUGGAUCACAGACUCUCAAGCAAGGCGGUGGUGGCCCAGGAGUUUAAUUCCAGGACUCAGAAGGCUGAAGCUGCAGAGCUGUGAGUUCGAGGCCAACCUGGUCUACAGAGCAACAGGAACUAUCAUUAGUGGCAAAGCCAGAGUGAGCAGCUUUGAUAAAAAGGAACAGCUCGGGCUGGAGAGAUGGCUCAGUGGUCCAGAAGUCCUGAGUUCAAUUCCCAGCAACCACGUGGUGGCUCACAAC